Molecule: ribosomal RNA, 301 nt
Filed under: uncultured bacterium
Lineage: Bacteria
Description: bacterial SSU rRNA
Rfam family: Bacterial small subunit ribosomal RNA
Source: RNAcentral
CCUACGGGACGCAGCAGUGAGGAAUAUUGGUCAAUGGGCGCGAUCCUGAACCAGCCAAGCCGCGUAAGGGAAGACGGCCCUAUGGGUUGUAAACCUCUUUUGUCGGGGAACAAAAGCCGGCACGUGUCCCGGUCUGCGAGUAUCCGAAGAAAAAGCAUCGGCUAACUCCGUGCCAGCAGCCGCGGUAAUACGGAGGAUGCGAGCGUUAUCCGGAUUUAUUGGGUUUAAAGGGUGCGCAGGCGGACCGUUAAGUCAGCGGUAAAAUUGAGGGGCUCAACCCCGUCGAGCCGUUGAAACUGGC